This 60-nucleotide microRNA precursor is filed under the name Solanum tuberosum (potato). RNAcentral's name for it is "miR384 stem-loop (stu-MIR384)". Its record names the gene stu-MIR384. Lineage: Eukaryota; Viridiplantae; Streptophyta; Magnoliopsida; Solanales; Solanaceae. The record is from miRBase by way of RNAcentral.
UUGGCAUUCUGUCCACCUCCCAGCUUACUGAGGACUGAGGAGGGGGCCAAAGUGCCAAAC